CCAGCCGCGGUAAUUCCAGCUCCAAUAGCGUAUAUUAAAGUUGUUGCAGUUAAAAAGCUCGUAGUUGAAUUUUAGGCCUGGCCGGGCGGUCCGUCUUUGGCGAGUACUGUCUGUUGUCGGGUCUUCCUUCUGGUGAACCAAUAUGUCCUUUAUUGGGUGUGCUGGGGAGCCAGGACCAUUACCUUGAAAAAAUUAGAGUGUUUAAAGCAGGCUUUUGCUUGAAUAGAUUAGCAUGGAAUAAUAGAAUAGGACGUUGUGGUUCUAUUUUGUUGGUUUCUAGGACCACCGUAAUGAUUAAUAGGGAUAGUUGGGGGCAUUAGUAUUCAAUUGUCAGAGGUGAAAUUCUUGGAUUUAUUGAAGACUAACUAUUGCGAAAGCAUUUGCCAAGGAUGUUUUCAUUAAUCAAGAACGAAAGUUAGGGGAUCGAAGACGAUCAGAUACCGUCGUAGUCUUAACCAUAAACUAUGCCGACUAGGAAUCGGGCGACGUUAUUUUAAUGACUCGCUCGGCGCCUUAUG
RNAcentral lists this ribosomal RNA (518 nucleotides) under uncultured Archaeospora. RNAcentral's name for it is "SSU rRNA". It matches the Rfam family "Eukaryotic small subunit ribosomal RNA", at positions 567 to 1092 of the family's 1831-position model. The record is from RNAcentral. Lineage: Eukaryota; Fungi; Glomeromycota; Glomeromycetes; Archaeosporales; Archaeosporaceae.